CAGAGGGGGCAAGCGUUAUUCGGAAUUAUUGGGCGUAAAGGGCGCGUAGGCGGCUUUUCAAGUGACGGGUGAAAUCCCUCGGCUUAACCGAGGAACUGCCUGUCAGACUGGAAGGCUUGAGACCGGGAGAGGUGAGUGGAAUUCCCAGUGUAGCGGUGAAAUGCGUAGAUAUUGGGAGGAACACCAGCGGCGAAGGCGGCUCACUGGACCGGAACUGACGCUGAGGCGCGAAAGCGUGGGGAGCAAACAGGAUUAGAUACCCUGGUAGUCCACGCCGUAAACGAUGAGUGCUUGGUGUAGCGGGUAUCGACCCCUGCUGUGCCGAAGUCAACACAUUAAGCACUCCGCCUGGGGAGUACGGUCGCAAGACUG
This 372-nucleotide ribosomal RNA is filed under the name uncultured organism. Its description in RNAcentral is "bacterial SSU rRNA". It matches the Rfam family "Bacterial small subunit ribosomal RNA", at positions 526 to 896 of the family's 1533-position model. The record is from RNAcentral.